UCGGGAAUCUUGGGCAAUGGGCGAAAGCCUGACCCAGCGACGCCGCGUGGAGGACGAAGCCCUUCGGGGUGUAAACUCCUUUUGCCAGGGACGACUUCGGACGGUACCUGGUGAAUAAGCCCCGGCUAACUCCGGGCCAGCAGCCGCGGUAAUACGUAGGGGGCGAGCGUUGCCCGGCUUUACUGGGCGUAAAGCGCACGUAGGGGGGUCGGUAGGUCUGGUGGGAAAUCUCCCGGGUCAACCGGGGGG
RNAcentral lists this ribosomal RNA (249 nucleotides) under uncultured Armatimonadota bacterium. RNAcentral's name for it is "uncultured Armatimonadetes bacterium partial 16S ribosomal RNA". It matches the Rfam family "Bacterial small subunit ribosomal RNA", at positions 355 to 620 of the family's 1533-position model. Lineage: Bacteria; Bacillati; Armatimonadota. The record is from RNAcentral.